Molecule: long non-coding RNA, 1466 nt
Filed under: Brassica rapa (field mustard)
Lineage: Eukaryota; Viridiplantae; Streptophyta; Magnoliopsida; Brassicales; Brassicaceae
Description: long non-coding RNA (BRAP_LNC008494)
Source: RNAcentral
UCAGGAACAAGCAAAUCAAGAGAAGUCCAAAAAAAAGAAAGGCUCACCAAGAAAAUACAAGCCAAUGUCGUAUAAUAUAUCAAUCUGACGGCAAUUCAGAGACCGUCGAUCAUGCAAAAGGAUGCGACCAGCCAAGGAAUUCUGCGAACACGAUUUCCAAAAUUCAGUCAACAGUCUUGGUCUUUGGUCAAGUCAAUAUUCCUAGUCAAGUCUUCAUAGUUUUAAGAGCUUUAUAGUUUCAGUGAUUGACUAGAUUAUUUAAUUUUACAAAUUGCCUAUUAUAUAAAGGUUUGUUUUGUAUUGUUUUUAUUCAUUCAACCCUUUUAAUAAAAAUUUACUUUUUAAAUUUGUUGAAUCCUUUGUUCUUUGGAACAUCGUAAUGCUACGAGAGUGAUCUCCGUAAGCACGGUCACGUUCACUAGUGGGGCUGCCUCUCACGGACUAAGACCAACCAACAAGUAUCUGGCCUUCCGCAGCCUUAUACUGAAGAACCAUCGAUCCACCUUUCCUUUAAUCCAUCUUUGGGUCAAAGCUUAUCCUUUUCACCAACCUUCGAGUGCAUUCCUUGGGAGAUUUUCUAUUAUUUGGUAUCAGAGCACACUUGAGGGUUCGGUGUUCACUUCUGUCAUUCAUCAUUCUCAUCUUUCCAUCUUCUACAAAAAAAAAAAAAAAAAAAAAUCCACGAGAAAACAAGAGAUCAUUCCAUCUGAAGUUAAACCGAGACUGCUCCUCCAUCUCUCGUAAUGGCUCUAGGAGAUUGCUUCUCCAAAAGCAACCUGUUUUGAUCACUAGUGGGGCUGCCUCUCACGGUCACAGGUUCUAAACAUUAAGUCGGAUUUGAGGGCAAAUCCUUUUGAAGGAGGAGGGGAUGAUGUGACCUUGUUCAGGAACAAGCAAAUCAAGAGAAGUCCAAAAAAAAGAAAGGCUCACCAAGAAAAUACAAGCCAAUGUCGUAUAAUAUAUCAAUCUGACGGCAAUUCAGAGACCGUCGAUCAUGCAAAAGGAUGCGACCAGCCAAGGAAUUCUGCGAACACGAUUUCCAAAAUUCAGUCAACAGUCUUGGUCUUUGGUCAAGUCAAUAUUCCUAGUCAAGUCUUCAUAGUUUUAAGAGCUUUAUAGUUUCAGUGAUUGACUAGAUUAUUUAAUUUUACAAAUUGCCUAUUAUAUAAAGGUUUGUUUUGUAUUGUUUUUAUUCAUUCAACCCUUUUAAUAAAAAUUUACUUUUUAAAUUUGUUGAAUCCUUUGUUCUUUGGAACAUCGUAAUGCUACGAGAGUGAUCUCCGUAAGCACGGUCACGUUCACUAGUGGGGCUGCCUCUCACGGACUAAGACCAACCAACAAGUAUCUGGCCUUCCGCAGCCUUAUACUGAAGAACCAUCGAUCCACCUUUCCUUUAAUCCAUCUUUGGGUCAAAGCUUAUCCUUUUCACCAACCUUCGAGUGCAUUCCUUGGGAGAUUUUCUAUUA